GAGACUUUAGUCGAGUGGUCAAGCCACGCGUGGCUUUCAAGCACUCAAACUUACUCACCGACCUAGCGUGGGUUCGAAUCCCAAGCUGGUCUUA
This 94-nucleotide transfer RNA is filed under the name Cotesia glomerata. RNAcentral describes it as "tRNA-Glu". Lineage: Eukaryota; Metazoa; Arthropoda; Insecta; Hymenoptera; Braconidae. The record is from RNAcentral.